This is a long non-coding RNA of Cavia porcellus (domestic guinea pig), 4078 nucleotides long. RefSeq lists it as uncharacterized. Lineage: Eukaryota; Metazoa; Chordata; Mammalia; Rodentia; Caviidae. The record is from RefSeq and is a predicted model, not a curated record. The transcript has 2 exons.
UCUCAGCCUCCUCCUGCAAGUGACGACACAACACUGACCCGGGAGCCCCCUCCUAAGGACUUGCCUCAGUCAUUCCGCAGAGGCUUCAGGGGAAGCCGCCCCACCCUGUAGGCGGCCGUGGGAGCAAAAGGCAAGUCACGGAAACUUUCAUGAAGUGGGCAGAGAAACCGCUUGUGUUAGCACAGUAGAGGGAUAACCGGGGAAUCCACCGCCAUCCACCCUUGACCUCACACGCUACUGGAGCUACAGGUUUUUGGGUGGACCCAGAGGCCCUGAAAUGUUCUGCCACAGAUUUUGCACCGUCUAGGCCCGAGGCCUGGCUUUGUGACUGACUACACAGGCUGAAAGUGUGAGCUGGCAGACGGACGUUCAAUGGUAUUUUCCUAAGAAUCAUCACCGGGGCUUGGCCACAAGCUUUGCUUUUUCCUGUUGAGUAGCAUUAUCAUAUUUUCUUUCUCUGCUUCUCUUGCUUUGUGUUUCAUGGAUGUAACUGAGCUGGGCCCAGCUCCUGCAUCUCGAGAUUGGAGGACAGGCAAGACACCUCUGCCUCUGAAACCACUGCAAGUGUUCUAGUAGGCAGGGGUCUUUGCCUUGAUGUGGAUUGGUUGUGGCUUCCCCACUCCAUCCUUGCCCUCUCUAGAAAUAGAGUGAAGCUUUGCUACUGUAGAGAGGGAAAGAGGGAACAGAGUCAGUUGAUGUGAACUGUGAAUUUGUAAUGUUAGUUUGGAAAACAUCUCAGGACUUGUGCACAGCAGACUGUAAUCUGUAGUCCAAGCACUCUGUCGUCUUGGUGAGGUUUGUUCCUUUUCCUCUCCUCACCAAGCCUGUGAAGGUCACUUGAAAACAGCUGAAAGAUAGUAACAUAGGCCCAAAGGAACCCAAGGCCUGACUACACAGAAGUAUGGAAAUGCAAAGGCCAUUACUUUGAAAAAUAUCUCUUAUGAUGCCAAGUUGGUUCCUAGCUUCUACACUGUGGUUCUAAACCAUAGCACGAUUUUUCCACUUGCCUUCCUUUGCAUUGCAUAGCAACAGGAAGUGCCAUGCAUGGAUGGGCUUAUGCCUGAGUUCCUUAAUGAAUCACUGACAAGAGAGCCAAUAGAAUAUCUUUUAACAAAUUAGGUCCACUUCGGAAACAGGGUCAGUUCAGCUUCCCCAGGAACACACAGGUGGUACACAAGGAAAAACAUAUAUCUAUAUAAAAACCAGAAACUGCUAGGAAUGGGUGGUUAUGUCAGUAAGAUUUGCUGUGAUAAUAUACCUUAGAUAGGGCUGGGAAUUUAGCUCAGCGGCAUAAAUGCCUGCCUUGAAGCGUGUGAUGGUGAGUUCAAUUCCUGGUACCAAAAAAAAAAAAAAAAAAAAAGACCAAAAACAUAUCUGAGAUAAACAAGUUAAAAAAAGGAAAUAGGGCUGGGGAUUUAGCUCAGCAGCAUAAGCGCCUGCCUGGCAAGCACAGGGUUGUGAGUUUGAUCCCUGGUACCAAAAAAAGAGGAAAUAGACUUUGGCUCACAAUUUUAGGGGUUUCAGUCAAUAACUUUGACCACUGUACUGUGUCAAGCAAUAUAUCAUGAUGGGAGGACCCUAUAGAGCAACCAAAAAACAGAGGAAGGGGACAGGGUCACAAGAUCCUUUCAAGGGCAAACAUCCAGUGACUUAAUUCCUCCCUUUUGAACCCCAUCUCCCUAUAGCACCACAGACCAAGCUUUUAGCACAAGAGCCUUUGGGCGACAUUUAAAAUCCAAACAAUUACAGUAGUCAAUCAAAGAUAUCUAUUACAUGAAGUCUACUACCUGAAGAACCAUCAGCCUUGAGGAAUGGGGGUGAGGAACCCUAACACACUUGAAAGCAAGAACUACUUGAACAAAUAUUUCUAAAGACUUGUUAAAUUCCUCUCUGGAUAUGUGGAACAAGGACAACUUUGAAACUUAGCAGUACAGUCAGUGAUGGUGCUCUAAGUCUCCUCAAAUCCUCUAUAUCCAUAGGAAUUGGCUAAUACUGGAAAAUGGAAACUCACGAGGUACCUAAAAGUAACAAGGGACAGCACAGAAAAAUGCUCUUAGUCAAUAAAUCCCUGAAAAAACACUGCAACAGAGAGAGACCUGGAACAUGGAGUCUCUCGGAAGAAGCCACAUUGUAGCUUACAAUACAGGUGAGAAAAGAAGGUAGAAAACCAGGCUGCAGAAUGAUAUAUUUUCUUAAAAGAUAAACUGAAGCACAUUAGAAACUUUAAGAGUUUGAGUAAAGGACAGCUCACGAGUGGGGCAGCAUGCAGAACCAAAAGAGGUUUGGAGAGCUCUACUGCGGCAGCAUGGACAGAAGUUUAUAUAGACUGAAUAUGGAAGUAAGCAUUCUUUGAUUUGUUAGAGUGAAAAGUCCCUGAUGAGAAGUUAAUUUUUGAUUUGGUUUGGUUUGGUUUUUGAGAUGAGGGUCUUACCAUGUAGUUCAGGCUGGCCUUGAACUCAAUAUACAGCUGAGACUGGCCUCAAACUUGGAGUGAUCCUCCUGCCUCAGCCUCCAAAUGCUAGGAUUACAGGAAUGCACGAGCAUACCUAGCUACCAGUUGGUAGUUUCUGACUGGUAAAAUUUCUACUUUUGUUUUACUCUUUACAUUAAGCUUUUUUUUUUUUUAAGAGGAAAAAGAGAAAAACACAAAACAAAACAAAGCGGUGUAAGGGUACACGUAAUACAGAACUACAAAAAAAAACAUAACAGUAAGAAAUCACCUGUUAAUAGAUUACAUAUUAUCAUCUUGAAAAUAGUUGCUCAAAUCACAGUAUCAAAGAAUACAAGGUGGACAUUCAAACAGGGAGACUGCAAACAGCUGUGUUCAAUGAUCCAAAAACAUUGAUAUAGUCAGCUAUUUAACACCCCUAAACACACUUGCUGUUAUAUCCGUUAGAGCUCUUUUUCUUUUUUUUUCCCUCUCUUUUUUACAACAAAAUUUACACAUUUUGGAUUUUAUUACUCCUUAGUGCUUAUUACUUUUUUGGGGGGAGAGAAUACAGUCAAAUAUGGCAAAACAAAGCUGUCAGUCAAUACCAAGGAUAGACAUAGCACAUGGUGUAGAACAGAGUACAAGGUUAUCAACAGUGGUUAUCAACGUUGUCUCUUGUUUCCUUAAAAAGAAUUGUCUAUCUCAUUAGAUAUUAUAAAGUUGGACAAAACAGUAGAGAACAAGACCAAUAAAACUUAGGCAUUGUAAACAUUACAGGACUUCCAAAGAAGACAAUAGUCAAACCAGAAUGUGCAUCUUAGUGAAUCUUAUUGCCUUCAAAGUAGAUGCCUAUAUCCUCAAACUUGAUACUAUCAUACAGAAUGGAACAGAGUCUAAUCAGUCAAAACAAGAUCGUGGGAGUAUUACAGGACUUCAAAACAAGUUAAUAGGAAAUCAAAAAGAGUUACUAUUUAUAUAUCCUAAUUUUUAAAAUUUUUUCCCUUAAUUAAGACAAACAUAAGAAAUGACUAAAUAAUUUUUUUUGAAAAGAAUAAGGGGAAGAUUGAGAUAAAACAGUACAUUAAGCUUUAAUUGGCUUAUGUAGGAACCCAAAGCUCUUAGAGCCAUAUGAGCCUAAAGGUCCCUUAAUUAAAAGAUUUUAAUACUUAGAAGGCAAUGUAACCUAAUCUCAGUUUAAAGAUUUCUAUUGUAUAAAUCAGACAUGUGGCCAGAAUUUACUCCCUCAAACCCUAAGCAGAGAAAUUAGAACCAUAUUGUUGUGGGUUGAUUGUGUACCCAAAAAAAGUUACCUUCAAUUUCUGGCCCCUGUUACCAGUGAAAACAACUGUAUUGAGAAAAUCUUUGCAGAUGGAAUCAGGUUAAGAUGAAGUCCUGUGGAGCAGGUUGGCCCUUCAUGCUGGUGUCCUCAUCAGCAAGGAAGGGACAUAUAGACAGCACAUGUGAUGGCAGAGGCAGACAUUGGAGUUAAUCUGCCACAAACCACGGACACCUAGGGCAGACAGAACUAACAGAGAUGAGGCAGCAUCCUCCCUGAUAAGUUUCCGAAGCAAUGUGAUCCUGCUAGCAUGUGCAUUUCAGGCUCUUGGCCUCCAAUGUGAGACAAUAAAGUUCUAUUGUUUAAUGCCA